Molecule: ribosomal RNA, 351 nt
Filed under: uncultured bacterium
Lineage: Bacteria
Description: bacterial SSU rRNA
Rfam family: Bacterial small subunit ribosomal RNA
Source: RNAcentral
UCGGCGCUAAUACCUCAUAAUGCAGCGGAUCCGCAUGGAUAUGUGUUAAAGGUUUACCGCCUUGGGAUAGGCUUGCGACUGAUUAGCUAGUUGGUGUGGUAAUGGCACACCAAGGCUACGAUCAGUAACUGGGUCUGAGAGGAUGAUCAGUCACACUGGAACUGAGACACGGUCCAGACUCCUACGGGAGGCAGCAGUGAGGAAUAUUGGGCAAUGCACGAAAGUGUGACCCAGCAACGCCGCGUGGAGGAUGAAGGUAUUCUAUAUCGUAAACUCCUGUGAGAGCAGACGAAAGACAGAUUAUUAAUUUGGAUGACUGUAUGCUCAGAGGAAGCUCCGGCUAACUACGUG